This 2368-nucleotide long non-coding RNA is filed under the name Homo sapiens (human). RNAcentral describes it as "HSALNT0393157". The record is from RNAcentral. Lineage: Eukaryota; Metazoa; Chordata; Mammalia; Primates; Hominidae.
AGUGAGCUGUGAUCAUGCCACCGCACUCCAGCCCUGGCAACAGAGUAAGACCCUGAUUCUAAAAAAGGAAAAAGGUCACUCUCUACUCAAGUUCUACUUAUAUAACAGCAAUGCAGCUCUCUUCAUAAAGCUGGCUGUUGUGUAGUUUAUGUUGGGGAAUCAGUUCAUGGUUUAAAAAGUUCUGUCAAUGCAGAGAACAAGCCGGUGUGUUUUAUGGAGAGGCUGUUUAAUCUCCACUGUGAGACAGUAAAUAUUUGGCUGUUGCAUCAUCGUGAAGCUUAUGAUCACAGUCUGGCGCCAUCUCCCUCCUUGCCUGGAGUCUGAUCUGUCCCGGCCCAGUGUCCUCCAGGACCCUGGCCCCUCAUGCCUCCGUGCUUGCGCGUGUGCCAUUUCCUCUCUCCAGAGGACCUUUCCUGCCUAGGACUCAUGAUUGUCCCCUCCCUGGCAUUUUUUACACCUGGAGCAGCCAGAGGACGCAUGCAUGGCUCUUCGGAAGGUAAUUUAGGGAUCACCCAUGUAAGUUUCCUAAGGAUUUCUUUAACAUGGUUCUUCUGAUUCAGUCCGGCCAAUUAAAUCUAAAUCCACCCCUGAAAGCCAUCUGGUGUGGAUAACAAGCCCACAAAUGAGCAGUCAGCUUUUUGUGCCCUUUAGGGCCUGGGACAACCACGGGAUCUAAAAGGGGCUGGAACUAGAGGUCUUGAGCUCCUGUUCCUAAAAUCAUCUUCAUCCUAUAUCUGCAGCCUUCUCCUGCCACGGCAUGCACCCACACAUGCGAGCCUCCCGGGUACUGUCAUCCUGAAUUCUGAGACCAUCCAGCACUUCCUUUAGUUUUGCCCUGGUGCUGUUGACUUUUGUUUACUGAAGAGUGUGCUGGAGGCAGGACAAGGGACAUGGAAGGCUGCAAUUUAAGAGUCUAAAAGGUUUUAGAAUCCUGAAGGAGGUUUAACAAGCUGAAUUGAAGAAUAAUACCUUUCUCAACUGGAGAGAAUUUACAUGAUUGCAUUAUUGUUAAAAUUAACAUCUCAUCUAUUAAAAGCAUUUGUAGAUUAUCUUUGUACCUUCACUUUCUUUGUCUGCCUUACAUUAGGUCUCAGAGGUAGAUUGGUGGAGUCACCUGGAGUUUGUUGGUGACUUGGGGUUUGGCUGGCCUGUGGAGUCAGCCAGACUCUAGCUCUGAUCCAGAUUCUGCCCUUUAUCUCCUCUGUGCCCUUGGGAAAGUCAGUGAAACUUUCUGAGCCACAGUUUCUCCAAUAAGGAAAAACGACCGCCAACGGGGCUACCUGUUGAGCCCUACCUCCAACAGGGCUGCUGGGAGGAUUAGCCAAAGAGAUGUCUGUGAGGGAAACCAGCACAGACUCUGGCAUGGAGUAUGUACCCGGGGAUACCAGGACGAGGCCUGCCCCGAACGUGCAGGCCCACAUACGUGCAUACGUGUGGACGUGCACAUGCAUGCACACAGUGUGCACACAGGGUGAGGCACCGUGAAGCUGAGGCCGCACUUCUGGGCUUUCAGCCUUGGCAUUGUGGUUUCCAUCGCUGGGCCUGCUAUGAAGCCACGCUGCUUUUCAGAAAUACCUUCAGAAAUGAGAUUGGGAAACUUUAGUGAAAAACGUGUUGAUUGCCUGAGGCACUGCUCUGCCUCCGGGCUGUUUUCCUGGAGUGUGAUUUCCCCGUCAGAGUGCUGCAGUGGGCCAGGGACUUGUCUAGGGUGCCAUGGAGGCACAACUGUUGAUUAUGUUAAUAGGAUAAACAAACCUUCUUUGACACCAUAAAUAGCAGACGCUGUGCUUUCCUCCCCACCUCCUGGGCAGGGAAAAUAUUUGAAGCUGGAAGGAAUUGAGCCCUGAGCUUAAUACAGUUACAGACCCAGAAAGAAAACAAAGAUGGGUACAAAGAUGUGUUUUCAGGAGACAGAAAAUUGUGAAAUCAACCCAUCAGUCGGCCCAGGACUGGCUCACCUUGAGUGGCUCCUGGUACAGUGACUGCUGUGGAUGGCAGCCUGCAUGGUGGAUGGGAAAGCGGAGUUCGUGUGGGAGACAGAGCUCUCGCGAAGCUGUGCUGUUUUCUCUUAAGUAGGCUAGAAUGGAGGACAACUUACAGGUAGACCUAACUGCAACCUGUUGACAGUGAAGCUAAAGUCCGAACACACCCGUCACCUUUCAGAGGACAGACAGAAGCCAUCUUUAUAAUAGUGAUUUUGCACAGACCAAGGAGAGGCUAGGUCCAACCGUUUCAGCUGCCGCCAGGAAAAAGGGUCCAACUCCCUGGAGCACAUCAGAAGGUUAGACGUCAUGGCAGGUGAUGGUUUGUCUUUUUUUUUUUUUUUUUUUUUUAAUGUGCUCCUUUUAUUUUCCAAAUUUUCUAAAAU